ACAAGUAAAGUUCUCUUUGUGUAUAUUGGAUAAUCAAUUUCAUGCUUUUAAUGCUCAAUUACGUUGGUGGUUCAUUUAUAAAAAGUUUUUUUCAAUGAAAUUGCUUUGCUCAAGAAUAGAUUCAAACCUGAAGUGUUGAUUUCUUGUCACAAUCUUCUUUGGCAAAUAAUGAAUGUCCUUUUCAUUAUGAGAGAUGCAAUUGAAUUCCUUCAAGCUUAAUUGUGUUGAGAGCUUCUUUCUUUGGUAGUCUUUACGACAUUUUCGUGUUGAGGCAAAUGGUUUGAAAAGUAUUAUAUAGGAAGUAAGUCCUAGUGCUAUGUUUAGAACAAAAGAACAUCACUUGUGGAAGUCAUUUAGAAAACCACUCUUUGAUUCAUUAAGGAAUGGUCAAAAUUGUAUUUAAAUGAUAAAUUGACAUUUAGGAGAAUUUUAUAUGAAAGCGGAAUAAUCAAUUUUGAAUUCCAUGAAAAUUGAUAGAAAACCUUCAUAAAUCGCGAGUUUC
This 502-nucleotide long non-coding RNA is filed under the name Carica papaya (papaya). RNAcentral's name for it is "long non-coding RNA (CPAP_LNC013962)". Lineage: Eukaryota; Viridiplantae; Streptophyta; Magnoliopsida; Brassicales; Caricaceae. The record is from RNAcentral.